This 663-nucleotide small RNA is filed under the name Pan troglodytes (chimpanzee). RNAcentral describes it as "processed transcript". The record is from RNAcentral. Lineage: Eukaryota; Metazoa; Chordata; Mammalia; Primates; Hominidae.
GCAUGAUCUGGCUCAUUGCAACCUCUGCCUCCUGGGUUCAAGAGAUUUUCCUGCCUCAGCCUCCCGAGUAGCUGGGACUACAGGUGCCCGCCACCACACCCGGCUAAUCUUUGUAUUACAGGAUAGAGUGUGUUCUUGGAAGCCUGGCGUGGAGGGAGGGAGAGCAGGUAGCACAGUUACAGAAGGAUCUUCGGGAUAUGGAAAUGCGGUAUUUGUGGACACUCAUUCAUCUAACACACAUUUGUUGAGCUCCUAAUGUGUAUAGAACUGAAGGGAUGGAGUCAUGGGCAGUGGAAAAGCUGAAAUUGUGUAAAAGACAGAGAAGGAUCAGUGGCUAUGGUCUCGAAGAUGACGUGGAAGUGUCAGCCAUGAUGGGUGGGGAGUGGCCUGCUGCUCCUCCUGGGAAGAGAAGAAGGUGAAGACUCAGGGUGCGUCUGCAGGGAGACAGUGGGAGCUGUGGGGUCGUGGAUGACGCUGAUCCUGUCAUUAGCAUCUGAGCGAGGUCACAGGGAUGUGGGGCCUCGUUAACAAUGCCGGCAUCUCAACGUUCGGGGAGGUGGAGUUCACCAGCCUGGAGACCUACAAGCAGGUGGCAGAAGUGAACCUUUGGGGCACAGUGCGGAUGACGAAAUCCUUUCUCCCCCUCAUCCGAAGGGCCAAAGG